RNAcentral lists this ribosomal RNA (250 nucleotides) under uncultured bacterium. RNAcentral describes it as "partial 16S ribosomal RNA". It matches the Rfam family "Bacterial small subunit ribosomal RNA", at positions 29 to 308 of the family's 1533-position model. The record is from RNAcentral.
AACGAACGCUGGCGGCAGGCCUAACACAUGCAAGUCGAACGCCCCGCAAGGGGAGUGGCGCACGGGUGAGUAACGCGUGGGAAUAUACCCAACAGUACGGAAUAACCCCGGGAAACCGGGGCUAAUACCGUAUACGUCCUCAGGGAGAAAGAUUUAUCGCUGUUGGAUUAGCCCGCGUCCGAUUAGCUAGUUGGUGAGGUAAUGGCUCACCAAGGCGACGAUCGGUAGCUGGUCUGAGAGGAUGACCAGC